Molecule: ribosomal RNA, 490 nt
Filed under: uncultured bacterium
Lineage: Bacteria
Description: partial 16S ribosomal RNA
Rfam family: Bacterial small subunit ribosomal RNA
Source: RNAcentral
AUUGAACGCUGGCGGCAGGCCUAACACAUGCAAGUCGAACGGUAACAGGAAGCAGCUUGCUGCUUUGCUGACGAGUGGCGGACGGGUGAGUAAUGUCUGGGAAACUGCCUGAUGGAGGGGGAUAACUACUGGAAACGGUAGCUAAUACCGCAUAACGUCGCAAGACCAAAGAGGGGGACCUUAGGGCCUCUUGCCAUCGGAUGUGCCCAGAUGGGAUUAGCUAGUAGGUGGGGUAACGGCUCACCUAGGCGACGAUCCCUAGCUGGUCUGAGAGGAUGACCAGCCACACUGGAACUGAGACACGGUCCAGACUCCUACGGGAGGCAGCAGUGGGGAAUAUUGCACAAUGGGCGCAAGCCUGAUGAAGCCAUGCCGCGUGUAUGAAGAAGGCCUUCGGGUUGUAAAGUACUUUCGGCGGGGAGGAAGGGAGUAAAGUUAAUACCUUUGCUCAUUGACGUUACCCGCAGAAGAAGCACCGGCUAACUCCGUG